AGCCGCCACGGGAAUACGGAGGGGGCUAGCGUUGUUCGGAAUUACUGGGCGUAAAGGGUGCGUAGGCGGUUGUUUAAGUCUGUUGUGAAAUCCCCGGGCUCAACCUGGGAAUGGCAAUGGAAACUGGACGGCUAGAGUGUGUCAGAGGAUGGUGGAAUUCCCGGUGUAGCGGUGAAAUGCGUAGAGAUCUGGAGGAAUACCGGUGGCGAAGGCGGCCCCCUGGACAAAGACUGACGCUCAUGCACGAAAGCGUGGGGAGCAAACAGGAUUAGAUACCCGCGUAGUCCCUGUCUCUUAUACA
This 301-nucleotide ribosomal RNA is filed under the name uncultured bacterium. RNAcentral describes it as "partial 16S ribosomal RNA". It matches the Rfam family "Bacterial small subunit ribosomal RNA", at positions 510 to 808 of the family's 1533-position model. The record is from RNAcentral.